RNAcentral lists this long non-coding RNA (798 nucleotides) under Equus asinus (donkey). RNAcentral describes it as "lncRNA (ENSEASG00005033254.1)". The record is from RNAcentral. Lineage: Eukaryota; Metazoa; Chordata; Mammalia; Perissodactyla; Equidae.
GUAAUCAUUGCGCAGUGUGUUUCGGCUUCUUGAUUAACAGUUGCAUUGGGCCUCUGAUGUAUGGGAAAAAAAGCUAACCCCAGCUUGAACACUAGAGAAAACUGCUGCAAUUAUGUAAGCUUUACCCUAAUUGCUUGGUUGAAUGAGAGCUGGAAGCGAGGGUGACAGAGUGGUGCUGCUAACUUGGCAAUUUGCAAGGGUCACUGUGGUUAAUUGGUGUCUGCAGAGCAGAACCAUUUUUCUAUGGUGAUCAAUUUAAGAUAUUGUCAUUUGUUGAAAUGAACCAAUGCCCUUGACUUCUUGGAAGAGGUGGAGGGAAUUGAUCACGGAACACACGCUAUUUGGAACAUAAAACUGAGUAAAACUGAUAUAAGACUGAUUUACACUUGACAAAUCUCCAGCCAAAAAUUUCUUUAUUGGCAGUUACUACCGAACUGAAUGAGUAAUCAACUAAGGGUCAGAAUACAAACUAGCGUCUCCGCCUCUCAGAACAAGCAUCACUUCCACGUGGAUGGCCUCCUCAGCCUCCCACUUCCAGUGCUUACUGGAGUCUAUUCCAAAUAGAUCUCCAUCUAUUGCAAAGCUCCCAUUAAAAAUUCUGGCUAUGGGGGCUGGCCCCGUGGCCGAGUGGUUAAGUUCGCGCGCUCCGCUGCAGGCGGCCCAGUGUUUCGUCGGUUUGAAUACUGGCCGCGGACAUGGCACUGCUCAUCAAGCCACACUGAGGCGGCGUCCCACAUGCCACCACUAGAAGGACCCACAACUAAGAAUGUACAACUAUAUACCGGGGGGCUUUGGGGA